RNAcentral lists this ribosomal RNA (253 nucleotides) under uncultured bacterium. RNAcentral describes it as "partial 16S ribosomal RNA". It matches the Rfam family "Bacterial small subunit ribosomal RNA", at positions 524 to 776 of the family's 1533-position model. The record is from RNAcentral.
GACAGAGGAGGCAAGCGUUGUUCGGAAUUAUUGGGCUUAAAGCGCGUGUAGGCGGCCGCGUAAGUGCUUUGUGAAAGUCCACGGCUCAACCGUGGAAUUGCAGGGCAUACUGCGCGGGUUGAGGUCGGUAGAGGUGGCCGGAACUCUAGGUGGAGCGGUGAAAUGCGUAGAUAUCUAGAGGAACGCCGGAGGCGAAAGCGUGCCACUGGGCCGAUUCUGACGCUGAGACGUGAAAGCGUGGGGAGCAAACAGG